RNAcentral lists this ribosomal RNA (406 nucleotides) under uncultured bacterium. RNAcentral's name for it is "partial 16S ribosomal RNA". It matches the Rfam family "Bacterial small subunit ribosomal RNA", at positions 30 to 526 of the family's 1533-position model. The record is from RNAcentral.
AUUGAACGCUGGCGGCAGGCCUAACACAUGCAAGUCGAACGAGUGGCGGACGGGUGAGUAAUGUCUGGGAAACUGCCCGAUGGAGGGGGAUAACUACUGGAAACGGUAGCUAAUACCGCAUACCAUCGGAUGUGCCCAUAUGGGAUUAGCUAGUAGGUGGGGUAAUGGCUCACCUAGGCGACGAUCCCUAGCUGGUCUGAGAGGAUGACCAGCCACAAUGGAACUGAGACACGGGCCAGACGCCUACGGUAGGAAGCAGGGGGGAAGAUUGCAAAAUGGGCGCAAGCCUGAUGCAGCAAUGCCGCGUGUAUGAAGAAGGCCUUAGGGUUGUAAAGUACUUUCAGCGAGGAGGCGUUACGCGCAGAAGAAGCACCGGCUAACUACGUGCCAGCAGCCGCGGUAAUAC